UGCAUCCUACGGGACGCAGCAGUGGGGGAUAUUGCACAAUGGGGGAAACCCUGAUGCAGCGACGCCGCGUGUGGGAAGACGGUCCUCUGGAUUGUAAACCACUGUCCCCAGGGACGAAGAUGACGGUACCUGGGGAGGAAGCUCCGGCUAACUACGUGCCAGCCGCCGCGGUAAUACGUAGGGAGCGAGCGUUGUCCGGAAUUACUGGGUGUAAAGGGAGCGUAGGCGUGACUGCAAGUUGGGUGUCAAAUCUACCGGCUCCACCGGUCGCCGCACUCAAAACUGC
This 286-nucleotide ribosomal RNA is filed under the name uncultured bacterium. RNAcentral describes it as "partial 16S ribosomal RNA". It matches the Rfam family "Bacterial small subunit ribosomal RNA", at positions 333 to 636 of the family's 1533-position model. The record is from RNAcentral.